CCCUUAGAUGUCCUGGGCUGCACGCGCGCUACACUGGAAGUUACGGAUUGAGAUACUACCUUGUCCGAAAUGGUCCGGGUAAUCACCUAAAAGCUUGUCAUAAUUGGAAUGGAUUAUUGUAACUAGUAAUCCUGAACGAGGAAUUCCUAGUAAGUCCCAGUCAACAGCUGGUACUGAUUACGUCCCUGCCCUUUGUACACACCGCCCGUCGCUACUACUGAUUGGACGUUUAAGCAAGAUUUUUAAACACUGACAGUGUGUAGUUCACGCUAUACUACAGUGAGAAGAAGAAGAUCGAGCUUACUUGCCUAGAGGAAGUAAAAGUCGUAACA
RNAcentral lists this ribosomal RNA (332 nucleotides) under uncultured eukaryote. Its description in RNAcentral is "partial 18S ribosomal RNA". It matches the Rfam family "Eukaryotic small subunit ribosomal RNA", at positions 1470 to 1796 of the family's 1831-position model. The record is from RNAcentral.